This 54-nucleotide transfer RNA is filed under the name Gulosibacter sp. 10. It matches the Rfam family "tRNA", at positions 19 to 71 of the family's 71-position model. From Rfam's summary of the family: Transfer RNA (tRNA) molecules are approximately 80 nucleotides in length. Their secondary structure includes four short double-helical elements and three loops (D, anti-codon, and T loops). Lineage: Bacteria; Bacillati; Actinomycetota; Actinomycetes; Micrococcales; Microbacteriaceae. The record is from Rfam by way of RNAcentral. RNAcentral also lists the same sequence under 1 other name.
UAGCGCAUCACCUUGCCAAGGUGAGGGUCGCGAGUUCGAGUCUCGUCAUCCGCU